Coturnix japonica (Japanese quail) is the source of this 1790-nucleotide non-coding RNA. NCBI's taxonomy places the organism in Eukaryota, Metazoa, Chordata, Aves, Galliformes, Phasianidae. The record is from RefSeq and is a predicted model, not a curated record.
UUGACUUUUCCUUUCUUUAAUUUACCUUGUGGGACUGUGGGAAAUGAGCAAUCCUUCUGGCUGUCAGUGCUGCUGCUGGUGGCGUGGUGGGGGGGAUGCAAAAGCGAUGCACCCCAGGACUGGCAUCUCCUUCUCACUCUGGCUGGAGCUGACAGUGCUGCAGCCAGCAGGAUGCUUGUGGCUCCCAGACAGUGGCUUUUGCAUCAACUCUCCCUCUGCCCAACCUGCCCCAGCCCUUCUCUCUCCUUCCCCUGCCUCCUCUCUCCACAGAUGCCAGAGCUUUCAUGACGUUUUUUGGGGCCACCCAACCCCAAUUGGUGAUGUCUUCUUCCAUGACUUCAGGACAAAGGAAAGCAAUCUGGGAUUGCAGGUGACCAGAAAGAGAAGGGCAACACCUGCUUUGUAAUUGGGAACUAAGUGAGGUGUUGCAGCUGAGUGUGGUGUGGCUGGGAGGAAGGAGGGGAGGAGAUAAAAGGGAUGUAGGUGGACUUGAGGUGCUUGUUGGCUUGGCACCGUUCUCUGGGCAGGCCUGGGGAAAGCAAAGCUGUGGGAUUGUGAAGUCAUAGAAUGGCUUAGGUUGGAAGGACCUUGAGGAUCUGUGAACUCCACCACCUGCUGUAGCUGGCAGCUCAGGCUGCCCGGGGACCCAUCCAUGGCCUGGGGCACCUCCAGGGAUGGAGCGCCCACAGCUCUGGUCAGCCCUGCAAGUGCCUCAUCACCCUCUGAGAACUCUCAUCCUCGGAGACACCUGCUUGAGCUCACAAACUACUGAAACGACACAAGUUGAUCAUUUCCACCGUGCUGCUCCCAUGAUGGAAUGGAUCAAAGUGUGUUGGGUUCCCAGGGCGCGGAUCUGCCCCAAUAAUCAUACAGCACUCUGGGCAGUGCUGGGAUGUUUGCAUGGGCAGUGAGCAGGGGACAUCCCAACUGAGCCCACCGGCUGCCAGCGGUGUUUCCAUGGAUAUGAGCAGUGCUGACCUCCUCACUGCCUCGCUUGUUGCUGCCAUUCCCUGAGGUUCCUGGCAAUUUUGUUGAGACUGAGCCUAGGAGACCUGCUGCUCUUCCUGUAUUUUGCAGCCGUGGCUGCUUCAACACCAGCUGUGGUCUAACAGGGCUCCACAUCUGCUGUCCAGCACAAGGGAUUGCAAUGCCUGGUUGCAACUGGGAAGGGUUUGAUGGAAGGAGCUCUACUUCCUUGCUCUCUAAGAUCCACCAGUGAGCCUCCCAUGCAAGCCAGAGCUGAGUUGCGUUAUUGCCGACAUUCUUGCUUUGUUCAGAAAAACGCUGCAAUUGGAGAAGCUGGUAUUUUGCAAGACAGCAGACCCCAGCAGCUGUUCCUGCCUGCAAGCAUCCCAGAUGUGAGCUGCACCUUUCCAAGCACUUCCUUCUGCUCACGGGCACCAUGGCAUAUCACUUCCUAAAGAGAGGGAAGGUCUGGAGGAAGGGAAGGAUCUACCUUCAGGUACACGGAUCAUCCCCCUGAGCUCAUCACCCCCUGAUCUUCCUAAUGAGCCACAGGUGGAAGUGCUGAGAGCAAAACCCAGGUCUCACUGCCAAACCAUGCCAAGUGGUCACAGCAUCUUCCCCACGGCCCCACCAGGGGCUGGCAGGAGCUGCGGCUGUUCCCCAUGGGAUGUCUGUGCCCAUGACCUGGUGAAGGUCAAGCAGGGAUCAGUGGCUGCAGUUCAAACCUGGCACCGGGGCUAAAAGGUUGAUGCAGUAACUCUGAAAACUGCUAAACAAGAAAUAGACUCCUUUACAAGAAAAAAAAUAAAGUCCCUGGGAGAAGA